Molecule: ribosomal RNA, 484 nt
Filed under: uncultured bacterium
Lineage: Bacteria
Description: partial 16S ribosomal RNA
Rfam family: Bacterial small subunit ribosomal RNA
Source: RNAcentral
AUUGAACGCUGGCGGCAGGCCUAACACAUGCAAGUCGAGCGGCUGAAGAGAACUUGCUUCUGGAUUCAGCGGCGGACGGGUGAGUGAUGCCUAGGAAUCUGCCUGGUUGCGGGGGAUAACGUCCGGAAACAGGCGCUAAUACCGCAUAAGCCCAGAGGGCGUACGUGGGAGAGCUUCGGACCUUACGCCAUCAGGCGAGUCGAGGUCGGAUUAGCUAGUUGGGGGGGUAAAGGCCUACCAAGGCGACGAUCCGUAACUGGUCUGAGAGGAUGAUCAGUCACACUGGAACUGAGACACGGUCCAGACUCCUACGGGAGGCAGCAGUGGGGAAUAUUGGACAAUGGGCGAAAGCCUGAUCCAGCCAUACCGCGUGUGUGAAGAAGGUCUUCGGAUUGUAAAGCACUUUUAUUUGGGAGGAAGAGCAGCAAGUUAAUACCUCGCUGUUCUGACGUUACCAACAGAAUAAGCACCGGCUAACUUCGUG